AACCUGCGGAGGGAUCAUUACCGA
This 24-nucleotide ribosomal RNA is filed under the name Verticillium nubilum. RNAcentral describes it as "partial 18S ribosomal RNA". Lineage: Eukaryota; Fungi; Ascomycota; Sordariomycetes; Glomerellales; Plectosphaerellaceae. The record is from RNAcentral.